RNAcentral lists this ribosomal RNA (85 nucleotides) under uncultured bacterium. Its description in RNAcentral is "partial 16S ribosomal RNA". The record is from RNAcentral.
CCCCUGUCAUUUGCGAACAAACCUUAUUAUUGAAUAGAUGAUGAGCUGAUUGUAGCGAAAGAGGAAGGGACGGCUAACUCUGUGC